This is a long non-coding RNA of Oncorhynchus tshawytscha (Chinook salmon), 704 nucleotides long. The record is from Ensembl. NCBI's taxonomy places the organism in Eukaryota, Metazoa, Chordata, Actinopteri, Salmoniformes, Salmonidae.
CCACAACUGGUCACCAUAUACAAGGGUGUGUGUGGACAAGGAGCCCUCAGAGAGGUGGACAAGGAGCCCUCAGAGAGGUGGACAAGGAGCCCUCAGAGAGGUGGACAAGGAGCCCUCAGAGAGGUGGACAAGGAGCCCUCAGAGAGGUGGACAAGGAGCCCUCAGAGAGGUGGACAAGGAGCCCCAUCAGAGAGGUGGACAAGGAGCCCUCAGAGAGGUGGACAAGGAGCCCCAUCAGAGAGGUGGACAAGGAGCCCUCAGAGAGGUGGACAAGGAGCCCCAUCAGAGAGGUGGACAAGGAGCCCUCAGAGAGAUGGACAAGGAGCCCUCAGAGAGGUGGACAAGGAGCCCUCAGAGAGGUGGACAAGGAGCCCUCAGAGAGGUGGACAAGGAGCCCUCAGAGAGGUGGACAAGGAGCCCUCAGAGAGGUGGACAAGGAGCCAUCAGAGAGGUGGACAAGGAGCCCUCAGAGAGGUGGACAAGGAGCCAUCAGAGAGGUGGGCAUGGGCCCAGAGCGAGAGAGAGAUCUGUUUUUGGUGACAUCAACAACAACAAAGAAUCCCACUGCUUGUAUUCUAGCCUGCAGAGUUAUCGAUCCACAUGCCCUGCACCACCAGAUUAAUGAGGAAGGGUCCAUUACACACAAACACAUGACCACACACACACUACAUCACAGAUGAAGAUGCAAUACUUACACAAGAUAG